This 497-nucleotide ribosomal RNA is filed under the name uncultured bacterium. Its description in RNAcentral is "partial 16S ribosomal RNA". It matches the Rfam family "Bacterial small subunit ribosomal RNA", at positions 28 to 507 of the family's 1533-position model. The record is from RNAcentral.
GACGAACGCUGGCGGCGUGCCUAAUACAUGCAAGUCGAACGCAUUUUCUUUCAACGUAUCUUGCUACACCGAACGAAAGUGAGUGGCGAACGGGUGAGUAACACGUGGUUAGCUGGCCAGCCACCGUGGAGAAACGCUUGAUAAUAGUGCAUAAACCCCAUAAAUCCAAUUUUCACAUUGGAAAGGUGCGAAAGGCGCAUUUGCGGCAGCUACCGCGUUGUAUUAGCUAGUUGGUGAGGUAAGGGCUCACCAAGGCGGCGAUGCAUAGCCGACCUGAGAGGGUGAUCGGCCACACUGGGACUGAGACACGGCCCAAACUCCUACGGGAGGCAGCAGUAGGGAAUCUUCGGCAAUGGACGAAAGUCUGACCGAGCAACGCCGCGUGAGUGAAGAAGGUUUUCGGAUUGUAAAACUCUGUUGUUAGAGAAGAACAAGGAUGAGAGUGGAAAGUUCAUCCCUUGACGGUAUCUAACCAGAAAGCCACGGCUAACUACGUG